This 563-nucleotide ribosomal RNA is filed under the name uncultured bacterium. RNAcentral describes it as "partial 16S ribosomal RNA". It matches the Rfam family "Bacterial small subunit ribosomal RNA", at positions 355 to 911 of the family's 1533-position model. The record is from RNAcentral.
UGGGGAAUUUUGGACAAUGGGGGAAACCCUGAUCCAGCCAUCCCGCGUGUGCGAUGAAGGCCUUCGGGUUGUAAAGCACUUUUGGCAGGAAAGAAACGUCGCGGGUUAAUACCCCGCGAAACUGACGGUACCUGCAGAAUAAGCACCGGCUAACUACGUGCCAGCAGCCGCGGUAAUACGUAGGGUGCAAGCGUUAAUCGGAAUUACUGGGCGUAAAGCGUGCGCAGGCGGUUCGGAAAGAAAGAUGUGAAAUCCCAGAGCUUAACUUUGGAACUGCAUUUUUAACUACCGGGCUAGAGUGUGUCAGAGGGAGGUGGAAUUCCGCGUGUAGCAGUGAAAUGCGUAGAUAUGCGGAGGAACACCGAUGGCGAAGGCAGCCUCCUGGGAUAACACUGACGCUCAUGCACGAAAGCGUGGGGAGCAAACAGGAUUAGAUACCCUGGUAGUCCACGCCCUAAACGAUGUCAACUAGCUGUCGGGGCCUUCGGGCCUUGGUAGCGCAGCUAACGCGUGAAGUUGACCGCCUGGGGAGUACGGUCGCAAGAUUAAAACUCAAAGGAAUU